Non-coding RNA from Pelobates cultripes (western spadefoot toad), 217 nucleotides. The record is from the annotation of a GenBank genome assembly. Lineage: Eukaryota; Metazoa; Chordata; Amphibia; Anura; Pelobatidae.
CAAUCACAAACCCUGACACUGUCACACACACUGACACUAUCACACACACGGACACAGUCACACACACUGAAACAAUCACACACACUGACACUGUCACAAACACUGACACAAUCACACACACUGACACUGUGACACACACUGACACAAUCACACACUGACAUAGUCACACACUGACACUGUCACACACACGGACACAGUCACACACUGACACAAUCAC